This 76-nucleotide transfer RNA is filed under the name Acidobacteriota bacterium. Its description in RNAcentral is "tRNA-Thr". It matches the Rfam family "tRNA". Rfam says of the family: Transfer RNA (tRNA) molecules are approximately 80 nucleotides in length. Their secondary structure includes four short double-helical elements and three loops (D, anti-codon, and T loops). Further hydrogen bonds mediate the characteristic L-shaped molecular structure. tRNAs have two regions of fundamental functional importance: the anti-codon, which is responsible for specific mRNA codon recognition, and the 3' end, to which the tRNAs corresponding amino acid is attached (by aminoacyl-tRNA synthetases). tRNAs cope with the degeneracy of the genetic code in two manners: having more than one tRNA (with a specific anti-codon) for a particular amino acid; and 'wobble' base-pairing, i.e. permitting non-standard base-pairing at the 3rd anti-codon position. The record is from RNAcentral. Lineage: Bacteria; Pseudomonadati; Acidobacteriota.
GCCUGGGUAGCUCAGUCGGUAGAGCAGCGCAUUCGUACUGCGCAGGUCAAGGGUUCGAAUCCCUUCCCAGGCUCCA